GGGGACAUGGUCUAGUGGUAUGACGGAUCCUUAGCAUGUCUGAAGCGUGUAUGGAUCAGGUCCGGGGUUCGAUUCCCCGUGUCUCCA
This 87-nucleotide transfer RNA is filed under the name Ceratocystis platani. It matches the Rfam family "tRNA". From Rfam's summary of the family: Transfer RNA (tRNA) molecules are approximately 80 nucleotides in length. Their secondary structure includes four short double-helical elements and three loops (D, anti-codon, and T loops). Lineage: Eukaryota; Fungi; Ascomycota; Sordariomycetes; Microascales; Ceratocystidaceae. The record is from Rfam by way of RNAcentral.